UUCGAGAGGCACAGGUUUUGCUCCUGUGAACUUCCCCAGGGUCGAAAGGCAGCAAGGAUAAGCAGUCGUAGCGAUUCGCUGUGUUCUCUCAAAUUU
Molecule: signal recognition particle RNA, 96 nt
Filed under: Saprospiraceae bacterium
Lineage: Bacteria; Pseudomonadati; Bacteroidota; Saprospiria; Saprospirales; Saprospiraceae
Description: signal recognition particle sRNA small type
Rfam family: Bacterial small signal recognition particle RNA
About the family: The signal recognition particle (SRP) is a universally conserved ribonucleoprotein involved in the co-translational targeting of proteins to membranes. Archaeal SRP consists of a 7S RNA and homologues of the eukaryotic SRP19 and SRP54 proteins.
Source: RNAcentral